RNAcentral lists this unclassified non-coding RNA (208 nucleotides) under Hevea brasiliensis (rubber tree). Lineage: Eukaryota; Viridiplantae; Streptophyta; Magnoliopsida; Malpighiales; Euphorbiaceae. The record is from RNAcentral.
AAUGUUCCUACAGGAGGAUCACUACAUUGUAUGAUUUCUACAGGUGGCAGCAAGGAGAAUACACCUAACAUUAAGAAGAGUAAUGAAAAAGUUGAAAUGCCUCUGUUAAAUUUGUCUAAAUCAGAGGUGAAUGACUUGUAUGUAGAGCCUGUGAAUAUGGUUACCUCUGAUUUUUGGGUGGAUGCAACCUUAAGACUGUCUUUCAAAG